Molecule: ribosomal RNA, 200 nt
Filed under: uncultured bacterium
Lineage: Bacteria
Description: partial 16S ribosomal RNA
Rfam family: Bacterial small subunit ribosomal RNA
Source: RNAcentral
AGAGUUUGAUCCUGGCUCAGGAUGAACGCUAGCGGCAGGCCUAAUACAUGCAAGUCGAACGAGAUUGUUGUAGCAAUAUGACAUGAAAGUGGCGCACGGGUGCGUAACACGUAUGCAAUCUACCUCUGAUUGGGGAAUAGCCUCGAGAAAUCGGGAUUAAUGCCCCAUAACAUAAUUGAAUGGCAUCAUUUGAUUAUCAA